RNAcentral lists this unclassified non-coding RNA (421 nucleotides) under Rhodophyllus crassipes. Its description in RNAcentral is "partial contains 18S rRNA, ITS1, 5.8S rRNA, ITS2 and 28S rRNA". The stretch from base 169 to 322 matches the Rfam family "5.8S ribosomal RNA". Lineage: Eukaryota; Fungi; Basidiomycota; Agaricomycetes; Agaricales; Entolomataceae. The record is from RNAcentral.
GACACCUACACCAUCUUUUUAAACCACCUGUGCACACAAUGUAGAUCUGAAUGACUGUUUCAAGGAAACUUGAUUUUGAGGACUGCUUAUCAGCUGUUCUUGUGAUUCAGGUCUAUGAUUUAAUAUACUCCUUUUGUAACAAAAGUGAUGGAUUAUUACACCAAAUACAACUUUCAACAACGGAUCUCUUGGCUCUCGCAUCGAUGAAGAACGCAGCGAAAUGCGAUAAGUAAUGUGAAUUGCAGAAUUCAGUGAAUCAUCGAAUCUUUGAACGCACCUUGCGCUCCUUGGUAUUCUGAGGAGCAUGCCUGUUUGAGUGUCAUUAAAUUCUCAACCUUAUCCUGCUUUUAUAAGCUGUGGAUCAGGCUUUGGACUGUGGGAGCUGCUGNUCUUUUGAGAUUGGCUCUUCUUAAAUGCAUUA